AGGCAGCGCUGCAGGUGCCAGCACAGAACCAUGCACGUGUGUGCCCUCGCCCUGCACAAAACCUUCAUGAUUUCUGCUCAGCACUGACAGCUGUCUGGGGAAGGGAGGGCCAUGGCGCAGCCACAAAAGCCCAGAUAUUUUGUGAAUCCUUUCCCUAUUUUUGAUAAGCAUGCUGCCAUGAUGAUGCCAGCAAAGGAAUGGGGAAAUUUUCCAUCUCAUCCAGCUGUCCCUUUUUGUUUCUCAAGUGAUGGACCAAAAGGCAGGACAGAAGGAGGUGUUUCCCCAAGGAAGCAGUGGCUCAUUGGCAGCCCCUGCUGCAGGAAGGAAGGCGAUGGCAGACACGGGCACAGGCACAGCAGAUGCAGCCGGCACCACAACAUGUGUUCCCGAUGCCCACAAGGGCCUUGGAAGCGACUUCUGUAAGGGAGCAGCCUGCUGGGCAGGGUUAAUGGCUGGCCUGCUUUGUUUGGAGCUUGUUCUCAUGUUGUGCUGUGUCAGAUUGUGGUGUUACUGGAAGAAGAAACGGUGCUUCUGUGCAUCUUCAGCAGAUGGCCCUAACAACACAGGCAAUGAGAACGUGGCCGUUUAUCCCAGCUCUCCGCUUCUGCCCCUAUCUACCCUGCCGUGGCUGCAGCAGCGUCAUGAGGCCUUCCCAAAACCCGUCCCUCCACGAGACCCUCUGCCCCCGAGCCCCCUGGUCCUCUUCCCUGGCCAGAACUGAAGUUCGGCAUCCCCUGUCUGACAGGGCAGGGCUUGGCCCAUAUUUCAUAUUUAAAUAAAAGAAUAGAGUUU
Long non-coding RNA from Passer domesticus (house sparrow), 792 nucleotides. RefSeq lists it as uncharacterized. The transcript is spliced from 3 exons. The record is from RefSeq and is a predicted model, not a curated record. Lineage: Eukaryota; Metazoa; Chordata; Aves; Passeriformes; Passeridae.